Molecule: ribosomal RNA, 462 nt
Filed under: uncultured bacterium
Lineage: Bacteria
Description: bacterial SSU rRNA
Rfam family: Bacterial small subunit ribosomal RNA
Source: RNAcentral
CGCUGGCGGCGUGCUUAACACAUGCAAGUCGAACGGGAGUAUUGAAGAAGCUUGCUUUAGAGAUACUUUAGUGGCGGACGGGUGAGUAACGCGUGAGGAGCUGUCCUAUGCAGGGGGACAACAGCUGGAAACGGCUGCUAAUACCCCAUAAGCCGAGAGGUAAAAGGAUCAAUCCGGCAGAGGAGGUACUCGCGUCCUAUCAGCUAGUAGGUGAGGUAACGGCUCACCUAGGCGAAGACGGGUAGCCGGCCUGAGAGGGCGAACGGCCACACUGGAACUGAGAUACGGUCCAGACUCCUACGGGAGGCAGCAGUGGGGAAUAUUGGGCAAUGGGGGGAAACCCUGACCCAGCGACGCCGCGUGGGUGAAGAAAUCCUUCGGGAUGUAAAGCCCUGUUGUAUGGGAAGAGCGGAAGACGGUACCAUACGAGGAAGCCCCGGCAAACUACGUGCCAGCCGCCGC